UAGACAAAGCAGCCCAGUUAGAGGGAAAGGGAUCCAAAGAUAGACGACGUAGUCAGAGACAGCUGCUCCUCCCCCUUCAGGAGUCCCACACGAAGAACCAGCUUCACAACUGUUACAUAUGGGUAGAAGGCCUGGGUCCAUUCCACGCAUGCUCCCUGGUUGGCAGUCCAGUCCCUAUGGGCUCAGGUCCCAGAGGACUACAAGACAUAUCUUAAAAGAUGCCAAAGCUCUGAUAAGUCACCUGUCUUCCUGUUCGGAGAUGCCUUGGGACUCCUCCAAACUGGAUGCUAACCAUUGUACAUUCUGCUAAGAGGAGAGUCAACAAAAAAGGAAAUGCCCUCUGUGCUCGCAAGGAGAGCCUCAGUCAGUCUACAAGAAGAGACCAAAACCACAUCAAACACCCUCACCCUGUUGAUGGACAGCUUUGGGAUUAAAUCUCUGCAUCUUGCAGUACAGGGUGGAUUAUAUCCUUUAGACUCUCGAUAGUGACCAGAUUAAUCUUUGGACCUUGUGUUUUUGGCUUCUCUGUUACAAUCUCACCGGUGGGACUAUUAAUCUUUGGACUUUGUGUACUCAGCUGGUUUUUAAUUUUAUUUACUCUUGCUGACAGCCAAUCCACAUUUAGCUGAUCGUGUGGCAAUCUAACUCUGCCCAUCUGGGUCCCCUAGGUUGUCCUUUAAUGCCCGGAAGUCAGCGACAGUGGACACCCUAAAUCCUUAUGUGUCCCAGUUUCAGCAAGAAGUUUCCAGAUUGACUUAAGGUCCAUCUGCUGAGUGGUUUUAGGGUCUCAACUCUUUAGGGGAAAUGUUACAUAGGAAGAUGGAUAUUGGUACGCAUGGGUGGGGGCUUCUCUGACAUUUGGACUGUUUCAGAGUCUGAAGCUCCUCUGCCUUCUGUCUGCUCUGUGGCUGCUCGCUGACCUUCAUUACUGAAACUGCCUGUGUCUUAAUUUAAAAAAGCAUGGUUUCCUA
Molecule: long non-coding RNA, 971 nt
Organism: Mus caroli (Ryukyu mouse)
Lineage: Eukaryota; Metazoa; Chordata; Mammalia; Rodentia; Muridae
Source: RefSeq, a predicted model, not a curated record